CGGUAAGACGGACCCAUGGGAUGAGAUGGAACCUCCCCCCAUCUAAUCUCAGGCAGAAAGGAAGAGGUUCAAAAUUUAACGUCACGCAACAACGACGUCAUUGCUGCCAGCAGUGCCAGUAAUGCAUGCUCAGUGCUCCUUGUGCUUCUGAGUGGAGGUUUGUUCUUUUACGUAGUGCUGAUGUUAUAUGCGCAAGAUGCCUCGAAAAUAUGUACGAGUUAGUAGCAGAGGGGAAUGGACUGAGGCAGCUAUGGAAAGAGCAAUAGCUGCAGUUAGAGGAAAACAUGGGCUUGAAGAAAGCUUCAAAAAGAAUUCAACGUGCCUAAGGGUACAGUCGGGCGCCGUGCCUGUGACAAGAAUAAGACAGCAACUGGAUCCACUAAGAUGCUUGGCCCUAUCAGGACUGUAUUCAAUGCUGCACAAGAGGCAGAGUUGGUGACUCACAUUUUGUCAAUGGAGGCUCGAUUUUUCAAACUGACUACACGGGAUGUUCGCUACAUUGCCUUCCAUGCAGCAAGGAGAAAUAAUGUGGACCACAAAUUUAACAAAGAGGUUGGACUGGCGGGUAAGGACUGGCUACUGGGAUUCCAUCGCCGUCAUCCACAACUUGUAAUUCGAACCCCAGAAGCAACUUCUGCUGCAAGAGCAAAAUUAUUCAACCCCAGAAACGAUGGCAAGUUCUUUGACAUUUCAUCCUUAGCGCAAGCAGACCAUUUUUUUUUUUUUUUUUCCUCCGCACAGGAUUUUCAAUGUCGAUGAGACAAGUGUUAAAACGCUGCAAAAUUCUAAUUUUGCCACCACACUGUAGUCACCGAAUGCAACCACUGGAUGUUUCCUUUAUGAAACUGUUGGAUGCCUACUAUGUGAAGGCUGUUGAAACAUUGCUCACAAACAGUCCUGGUAGGCAGGUGACUGUCUACAAGCUAAGUGCAUUAUUCGGAGAGGCCUAUCCACAGGCUGCUGUUCCAAAUACAGCCAUCAGUAGUUUUAGGAAAACGGGAAUUUUUCCAUUGAACAGCCAGGUUUUUGGCGAAGGUGACUAUUUACCUGCCCACCCAACAGAUAUUCCAUUCGAAGGUGAGCAAGAAGAGGAAGAUCUAGACGAACCAGUUGCCCAGCCAAUCAUGGCCCUGGAGAAUGAAUCUGACUUGGAAGCUGUUGAGCCAGAAAAUUCCAGUGUUUUGGUGCCAAAAGUUGCUCGGAGACUGUUCAAGCCAGGUAGUUCACCCCAGGACAUAAUUCUGAGAGGAGAAGGGUGGGUUUGUUGUGCUAUUUGCAAACGCUGGGCUCAUGAGCAAUGAGCGGGGAUAGAUGAUGAUGAGGAAGAGGUUUUUGUGUGUGAUUUGUGCCAGUAAGGAUUUGCUACUUCAUGUUCAGUUCGAGGGGCAAGAUGAACCCCUGAAGUCCAUCUUAUCCCGCCAUUUUGUUUUUGGUCCAAUAAAACUUUUGAUUUUGUAA
Scylla paramamosain (green mud crab) is the source of this 1458-nucleotide long non-coding RNA. RefSeq lists it as uncharacterized. NCBI's taxonomy places the organism in Eukaryota, Metazoa, Arthropoda, Malacostraca, Decapoda, Portunidae. The transcript is spliced from 4 exons. The record is from RefSeq and is a predicted model, not a curated record.